GGGAGUGAGACUGCGGGCGACAAGGUUCGUAGUCGAGAGGGAAACAGCCCAGACCGUCAGCUAAGGUCCCUAAAUACCGCUAAGUGUGAAAUGAUGUGUGAUUGCGAAGACAGCCAGGAGGUUGGCUUAGAAGCAGCCAUUCCUUAAAAGAGUGCGUAAUAGCUCACUGGUCGAGUAAUGAUGCGCAGACAAUGUAACGGGGCUAAGCGGUAUACCGAAGCUACGGAUCAGCACUUAGGUGUUGGAUGGUAGGGGAGCAUUCCAUGGACCGACGAAGGUAAACUGUAAGGUUUGCUGGAGGGGAUGGAAGAGAGAAUGCAGGUAUAAGUAGACGAAAAGACAGGUGAGAUUCCCGUCCGCCGAAAGCAUAAGGAUUCCUGGGUAAAGGUCAUCUGCCCAGGGUAAGUCGGCCCCUAAGGUGAGGACGAAAGUCGUAAUCGAUGGGAAACUGGUUCAAAUUCCAGUACCUUAUUAAGUUUCGAGGGGAUGACGCAUGAGGUGAAACCCGGCCGGGCGACGGUUGUCCCGGUCAAAGCAGCGAGUUGAUGAUUCCGGCAGGCAAAUCCACCGGGAGAGAUGAGCUGUGACAGCGAGUGGAGCGACAGCGAAGCGAAGCGGGCGUAAUCAAGGUGCCAAGAAAUAAUCUCUCAGGCUAGGCUUAAUAAGACCGUACCGUAAACCGACACAGGUAUGCGGGAUGAGAAAUCUCAGGCGCUCGAGAGAACUCGCGUUAAGGAACUCGGCAAAAUACAUACGUAACUUCGGGAGAAGUAUGACCAUCUUUGGUUUAGCAAUAGGUUAAGGGUGGGCACAGAGCAGUCCCAGGCGACUGUUUAUCAAAAACACAGGCUCUGCGAAUCAGCACUG
RNAcentral lists this ribosomal RNA (867 nucleotides) under uncultured Treponema sp. Its description in RNAcentral is "partial 23S ribosomal RNA". It matches the Rfam family "Bacterial large subunit ribosomal RNA", at positions 979 to 1838 of the family's 2925-position model. Lineage: Bacteria; Pseudomonadati; Spirochaetota; Spirochaetia; Treponematales; Treponemataceae. The record is from RNAcentral.